This 403-nucleotide ribosomal RNA is filed under the name uncultured bacterium. RNAcentral's name for it is "bacterial SSU rRNA". It matches the Rfam family "Bacterial small subunit ribosomal RNA", at positions 355 to 775 of the family's 1533-position model. The record is from RNAcentral.
UGGGGAAUAUUGGACAAUGGGGGAAACCCUGAUCCAGCCAUGCCGCGUGAGUGAAGAAGGCCUUCGGGUUGUAAAGCUCUUUCGACGGGGAAGAUGAUGACGGUACCCGUAUAAGAAGCCCCGGCUAACUUCGUGCCAGCAGCCGCGGUAAUACGAAGGGGGCUAGCGUUGUUCGGAAUUACUGGGCGUAAAGCGCGCGUAGGCGGUGAUCUUUGUCAGAGGUGAAAGCCCGGGGCUCAACUCCGGAAUUGCCUUUGAAACGGGAUCGCUUGAGUCCGAGAGAGGAUGGCGGAAUUCCUAGUGUAGAGGUGAAAUUCGUAGAUAUUAGGAAGAACACCGGUGGCGAAGGCGGCCAUCUGGCUCGGUACUGACGCUCAGGCGCGAAAGCGUGGGGAGCAAACAG